AGUCUAGUCUGUGACCUGAGCCAUCAUGGUAGGGUGUCCAGGGUGAGGGGAGGGUGGUGUGAAUCCCCAGUAAUGCAGGUCCUUUCCAGGCCAGGCCCCUGGUCCCCAGGAGUGCGGGGAUGCCUGAGGUCUACUGCUGCCUUAUCCAGAGCUGCCAUCCCCGGCGAUGACUCAGAGUUCCUGUGGCCCCAGCAUCAUCCCUCCAUCCCUGGCUGUGAGGCAGGAGCAGAGUUGCAGACCUGAGAGGCCUUGAAUUUGUUUGAUAUAGGACUUUGCCACCAGACAAAGUGCUUUGCCUGUGAGGUCUGGCUUGGCCUGGCCUCUGAGAAAGAACAAACACAGACCUCACUGGAAGGAACCUGGAGAACGGGAGAGGAGAGGCUGCUGCUGUCUGCCCUCCCAGCAGCAGAUAUAAAGACAAUGGGCUUCUAAGUCCCCUAGAGUCCCAGCUGUGUAAUUUAAGGCAAAUAUAAUUUCUGACCUACGUAAUGAUGUAUGCACAAGAAGCCUCUCUUGAAUGUAUUAAUUCAGUAAACAGUUAUGGAGUCCUUACAAUGUGCUAGUGGGACUUUGAAGAUGAAUCCAAAUUUGGAUCCUGGCCUGGAAAGGCUCAAAGCCCAAUAUGGGAGCCUGGAUACAAAUGUGAAACUUAUCUUCUUUUAUUAACCAAUCAAUCACCUCCUGCCAAAACAACAUCAGCAAAAACAACAGA
This 712-nucleotide long non-coding RNA is filed under the name Homo sapiens (human). Its description in RNAcentral is "non-protein coding LINC01227:19". The record is from RNAcentral. Lineage: Eukaryota; Metazoa; Chordata; Mammalia; Primates; Hominidae.